CGGAGGCAGCAGUGAGGAAUAUUGGACAAUGGACCAAAAGUCUGAUCCAGCAAUUCUGUGUGCACGAUGAAGUUUUUCGGAAUGUAAAGUGCUUUCAGUUGGGAAGAAGAAAGUGACGGUACCAACAGAAGAAGCGACGGCUAAUACGUGCCAGCAGCCGCGGUAAUACGUAUGUCGCAAGCGUUAUCCGGAUUUAUUGGGCGUAAAGCGCGUCUAGGCGGUUUGGUAAGUCUGAUGUGAAAAUGCGGGGCUCAACUCCGUAUUGCGUUGGAAACUGCCAAACUAGAGUACUGGAGAGGUAGGCGGAACUACAAGUGUAGAGGUGAAAUUCGUAGAUAUUUGUAGGAAUGCCGAUGGGGAAGCCAGCCUACUGGACAGAUACUGACGCUAAAGCGCGAAAGCGUGGGUAGCAAACAGGAUUAGAUACCCGGGUAGUCG
RNAcentral lists this ribosomal RNA (438 nucleotides) under uncultured bacterium. RNAcentral describes it as "bacterial SSU rRNA". It matches the Rfam family "Bacterial small subunit ribosomal RNA", at positions 343 to 796 of the family's 1533-position model. The record is from RNAcentral.